Molecule: transfer RNA, 73 nt
Filed under: subsurface metagenome
Description: tRNA-Arg
Rfam family: tRNA
About the family: Transfer RNA (tRNA) molecules are approximately 80 nucleotides in length. Their secondary structure includes four short double-helical elements and three loops (D, anti-codon, and T loops).
Source: RNAcentral
GCCCCUGUAGCUCAGAGGAUAGAGCACCAGCCUCCGGAGCUGGGGGCGAGAGUUCGAGUCUCUCCAGGGGCGC